Molecule: ribosomal RNA, 271 nt
Filed under: uncultured archaeon
Lineage: Archaea
Description: partial 16S ribosomal RNA
Rfam family: Archaeal small subunit ribosomal RNA
Source: RNAcentral
CAGCGCCACAAGUGGGGAUCGGUUUUAUUUGGCCUAAAGCGUCCGUAGCUGGUUUGGUAAAUCUCUUGUGAAAUCGUUAAGCUUAACUUAACGGCGUGCAGGAGAGACUGCUAGACUAGGGACCGGGAGGAGUCAGAGGUAUGCUGGGGGGAGCGGUAAAAUGCAAUAAUCCUCAGUAGACCACCUGUGGCGAAGGCGUCUGACUAGAACGGGUCCGACAGUGAGGGACGAAAGCCAGGGGAGCAAACCGGAUUAGAUACCCGAGUAGUCC